UAAAAACACAAAAAUUAGUAUUUAAAAAAAAGUAAAUAUGCCCUCGAAUUCAUCACAGAUUGAAGCCCAGAAACACGUAAUUUGUAUGCAUACUUCAACGCGUCGUUUAGUCGUCGAUGCCAUUGUAGAGUAGGCUAUAGUAUUGUGGCCGAUGCUCUCGGGUCGGGCACGAAACUUCCGCUUUACCUCCCCAUUGGACCAGCUGUGCCGUGCAUCAUUGAUUGUAUGUGCAAUAAACCUAACGAAAGGUGUGUAUAUAGUGUAUUCUGGCUUUUGCAUUUGGGGUCUUGUUGUCUCAAUAUGAGGGCCAAGGAAGUGUCAAUGGCAGUAAAGCAAACCAUCAUUAAGCUGAAAAAUGAGAAAAAAUCAAUCAGAGACAUCGCCGAAACAGUGGGUGUGUCAAAAUCAACUGUUUGGCACAUUGUUAAGAAGCAAGAACGAACUGGUGAGCUCAGCAAUGGCAAACGAUCUGGUAGGCCACGGAAGACCACUGUGGUGGAUGACGAAAAAAUACUUUCAAUUGUUAAGAAAAAGCCCUUUUCAACUGCUGAACAGAUCAAGAACACACUUCAGAAUGUAGGGGUAGAUGUGUCAACGACUACUAUAAAGAGAAGACUGCACCAGCAUAACUUCAGAUGGUUCACCACAAGAUGCAAACCACUGGAUAACAUGACCUCCCACCCUCCGGAUCAAAGUGGGAUGUCACUGCUCCAGGAGCAAGUUAGAAGAGAGAUUUUUCAGAGGAUGCAAUCAAGGUUCAGCUCUGUCACUGACAGUGAAACAAUGGAUUUGGAGGAGCUACUAAACAUUGCUCGACAAGAGCUCGCUCUAGCUACAGCGACAUCAAGUCAUGUUAAUAUCCCAGAGGAACUGGUCUGCAGUCUACAGGAGCUAAUCUGCAGACUUGACCAGUCCAUGCAGUCUGCUGCAGAAGCACCAGCUAAUCCCUCAGAUACUGAAACCGUUACUUUGAACGAUUCCCCUUCCUCUAAAUGAAUGUUCUUCACCCCAUCCCGUUUAACACAGACUAUGUUGAUUUGGCAACAUUCUACAAUGAGGAUUACCAUUCAUGUCGUGUGCUUGUACUUGUAAAUAUAUAAAUAAUUUGCAGAGAAAACAUUAAUUGUAUUUGUUAAUAUGGUGCCUUUUUCAUUAUUAUUCAUGGGAAUGGUUUGGUUUUUUCAAUUUUCUUUUUCCAAGUGGCCAAUCAAAGUGCUGCCUACCAGAGGUGGGACUGUAUAAAUGGAUGACUGUUGCAAUGUCCUGAUACUGAACAUUGAUGGGUGAAACAUCUGUCCAAUAAAUCAGACUUCUCUCAAA
Molecule: long non-coding RNA, 1320 nt
Organism: Conger conger (European conger)
Lineage: Eukaryota; Metazoa; Chordata; Actinopteri; Anguilliformes; Congridae
Exons: 3
Source: RefSeq, a predicted model, not a curated record